GAGUUUGAUCGUGGCUCAGAGCGAACGCUGGCGGCAUGCUUAACACAUGCAAGUCGCACGGUCGGGGGUAACUCUGGCAGUGGCGGACGGGUGAGUAACGCGUAGGUAUCUAUCCUUGGGUGGGGGACAACCGUGGGAAACUACGGCUAAUACCGCAUGAUGCCUGAGGACCAAAGGCGUAAGUCGCCUGGGGAGGAGCCUGCGUACGAUUAGCUAGUUGGUGGGGUAAAGGCCUACCAAGGCGACGAUCGUUAGCUGGUCUGAGAGGAUGAUCAGCCACACUGGGACUGAGACACGGCCCAGACUCUACGGGAGGCAGCAGUGGGGAAUAUUGGACAAUGGGCGCAAGCCUGAUCCAGCAAUGCCGCGUGUGUGAAGAAGGUCUUCGGAUUGUAAAAGCACUUUCGACGGGACGAUGAUGACGGUACCCGUAGAAGAAGCCCCGGCUAACUUCGUGCCAGCAGCCGCGGUAAC
RNAcentral lists this ribosomal RNA (474 nucleotides) under uncultured bacterium. RNAcentral describes it as "bacterial SSU rRNA". It matches the Rfam family "Bacterial small subunit ribosomal RNA", at positions 9 to 524 of the family's 1533-position model. The record is from RNAcentral.